This 520-nucleotide ribosomal RNA is filed under the name uncultured bacterium. RNAcentral describes it as "bacterial SSU rRNA". It matches the Rfam family "Bacterial small subunit ribosomal RNA", at positions 120 to 674 of the family's 1533-position model. The record is from RNAcentral.
GGGAAUCUACCCAUCUCUGCGGAAUAGCUCCGGGAAACUGGAAUUAAUACCGCAUACGCCCUACGGGGGAAAGAUUUAUCGGGGAUGGAUGAGCCCGCGUUGGAUUAGCUAGUUGGUGGGGUAAAGGCCUACCAAGGCGACGAUCCAUAGCUGGUCUGAGAGGAUGAUCAGCCACAUUGGGACUGAGACACGGCCCAAACUCCUACGGGAGGCAGCAGUGGGGAAUAUUGGACAAUGGGCGCAAGCCUGAUCCAGCCAUGCCGCGUGAGUGAUGAAGGCCUUAGGGUUGUAAAGCUCUUUCACCGAUGAAGAUAAUGACGGUAGUCGGAGAAGAAGCCCCGGCUAACUUCGUGCCAGCAGCCGCGGUAAUACGAAGGGGGCUAGCGUUGUUCGGAAUUACUGGGCGUAAAGCGCACGUAGGCGGAUAUUUAAGUCAGGGGUGAAAUCCCAGAGCUCAACUCUGGAACUGCCUUUGAUACUGGGUAUCUUGAGUAUGGAAGGGGUAAGUGGAAUUGCGAGU